RNAcentral lists this ribosomal RNA (700 nucleotides) under uncultured bacterium. RNAcentral describes it as "bacterial SSU rRNA". It matches the Rfam family "Bacterial small subunit ribosomal RNA", at positions 94 to 790 of the family's 1533-position model. The record is from RNAcentral.
AGUGGCGAACGGGUGAGUAAUGCAUCGGAACGUGCCCAGUAGUGGGGGAUAGCCCGGCGAAAGCCGGAUUAAUACCGCAUACGACCUACGGGUGAAAGGGGGGGAUCGCAAGACCUCUCGCUAUUGGAGCGGCCGAUGUCAGAUUAGGUUGUUGGUGGGGUAAAAGCCUACCAAGCCUACGAUCUGUAGCUGGUCUGAGAGGACGACCAGCCACACUGGGACUGAGAGACGGCCCAGACUCCUACGGGAGGCAGCAGUGGGGAAUUUUGGACAAUGGGCGAAAGCCUGAUCCAGCCAUGCCGCGUGCGGGAAGAAGGCCUUCGGGUUGUAAACCGCUUUUGUCAGGGAAGAAAUGUUCUGGGUUAAUACCUCGGAAAAAUGACGGUACCUGAAGAAUAAGCACCGGCUAACUACGUGCCAGCAGCCGCGGUAAUACGUAGGGUGCAAGCGUUAAUCGGAAUUACUGGGCGUAAAGCGUGCGCAGGCGGUUUUGUAAGACAGAGGUGAAAUCCCCGGGCUCAACCUGGGAACUGCCUUUGUGACUGCAAGGCUUGAGUGCGGCAGAGGGGGAUGGAAUUCCGCGUGUAGCAGUGAAAUGCGUAGAUAUGCGGAGGAACACCGAUGGCGAAGGCAAUCCCCUGCGCCUGCACUGACGCUCAUGCACGAAAGCGUGGGGAGCGAACAGGAUUAGAUACCCUGG